UUUUUUUUUUUUUUUUUUUUUUUUUUUUUUUUCACCAAUGAGG
Molecule: non-coding RNA, 43 nt
Filed under: Alexandrium minutum
Lineage: Eukaryota; Dinophyceae; Gonyaulacales; Pyrocystaceae
Source: RNAcentral